GACGAACGCUGGCGGCGUGCCUAAUACAUGCAAGUAGAACGCUGAAGCGAGGAGCUUACUCUUCUUGGAUGAGUUGCGAACGGGUGAGUAACGCGUAGGUAACCUGCCUUGUAGCGGGGGAUAACUAUUGGAGACGAUAGCUAAUACCGCAUAACAAUGGAUGACACAUGUCAUUUAUUUGAAAGGGGCAAUUGCUCCACUACAAGAUGGACCUGCGUUGUAUUAGCUAGUAGGUGAGGUAAUGGCUCACCUAGGCGACGAUACAUAGCCGACCUGAGAGGGUGAUCGGCCACACUGGGACUGAGACACGGCCCAGACUCCUACGGGAGGCAGCAGUAGGGAAUCUUCGGCAAUGGGGGCAACCCUGACCGAGCAACGCCGCGUGAGUGAAGAAGGUUUUCGGAUCGUAAAGCUCUGUUGUAAGUCAAGAACGGGUGUGAGAGUGGAAAGUUCACACUGUGACGGUAGCUUACCAGAAAGGGACGGCUAACUACGUG
RNAcentral lists this ribosomal RNA (497 nucleotides) under uncultured bacterium. RNAcentral describes it as "partial 16S ribosomal RNA". It matches the Rfam family "Bacterial small subunit ribosomal RNA", at positions 28 to 507 of the family's 1533-position model. The record is from RNAcentral.